This 253-nucleotide ribosomal RNA is filed under the name uncultured bacterium. Its description in RNAcentral is "partial 16S ribosomal RNA". It matches the Rfam family "Bacterial small subunit ribosomal RNA", at positions 524 to 776 of the family's 1533-position model. The record is from RNAcentral.
UACGUAGGGUGCAAGCGUUGUCCGGAAUUAUUGGGCGUAAAGAGCUCGUAGGCGGUCUGUCACGUCGGCUGUGAAAACCCGAGGCUCAACCUCGGGCCUGCAGUCGAUACGGGCAAACUAGAGUACUGCAGGGGAGACUGGAAUUCCUGGUGUAGCGGUGAAAUGCGCAGAUAUCAGGAGGAACACCGAUGGCGAAGGCAGGUCUCUGGGCCGAUACUGACGCUGAGGAGCGAAAGCGUGGGGAGCGAACAGG